CGGUUAUUGUGAUGCGUGUACGUAACAGAGUAGCUAGUAUAGGAAAAGUCGUUAGUAAGUAAGACAGUGAUCGAGUAUCAGCUGCUAGACUGACUGGAACAUUAGUAUUCGGUUUUUAAAAUCGAAAGGCUUGAUGACAUGGCCCUGCUGUAAUACAACGACACUGUGCUCGGCCUUCGUGCUUAAUCCACUCAACACCUGUGCACCUUAUCGAAGUUAGUAGUCUUUCCUCCUUAGUUGGAGCCGCCGGGGUUGACUUUGUUAGUAGUGUUUCGACGCGAAAGCAUAUGGUCGGCCUUGGCUGGGAUUGACGAACACUUUGACUUCAUCAUACACACUUUAAUUGUCUUGUAGAAUGUAAUGCUCCUUGUGGGCGAAAUGAAAUACAACUUUCAACAACGGAUCUCUUGGCUCUCGCAUCGAUGAAGAACGCAGCGAAAUGCGAUAAGUAAUGUGAAUUGCAGAAUUCAGUGAAUCAUCGAAUCUUUGAACGCACCUUGCGCCCCUUGGUAUUCCGAGGGGCAUGCCUGUUUGAGUGUCAUGUUAACAUCAAACCCCUUGCUUGUAAAGGCUCGGGGCUUGGAUUUGGAGGUUUGUGCCGGCCUGCUUCAUUGUCAGUUGUCGGCUCCUCUUAAAUGCAUUAGCUGGACUUUGGUCUGCGUGUCGGGUGUGAUAGUUUAUUCACCAAUCGCUUUUCCUAAUGGGUCUGCUUCUAAUGGGUCUUCGGACAAAGGUCUUUUAACAGCCCUUCUUUGAACUCUUUGACCUUCAAAUCAGGGUAGGGAAACUACCCCCGGCCUGGAAAACUUAUGAAG
This 815-nucleotide small RNA is filed under the name Porodaedalea pini. RNAcentral describes it as "eukaryotic LSU rRNA". The stretch from base 388 to 541 matches the Rfam family "5.8S ribosomal RNA". The record is from RNAcentral. Lineage: Eukaryota; Fungi; Basidiomycota; Agaricomycetes; Hymenochaetales; Hymenochaetaceae.